RNAcentral lists this ribosomal RNA (436 nucleotides) under Escherichia coli. RNAcentral describes it as "partial 23S ribosomal RNA". It matches the Rfam family "Bacterial large subunit ribosomal RNA", at positions 2006 to 2441 of the family's 2925-position model. The record is from RNAcentral. Lineage: Bacteria; Pseudomonadati; Pseudomonadota; Gammaproteobacteria; Enterobacterales; Enterobacteriaceae.
GACUUCCCCGCUGUCUCCAGCAUAGACUCAGUGAAAUUGAAUUCCCCGUGAAGAUGCGGGGUUCCUGCGGUUAGACGGAAAGACCCCGUGCACCUUUACUAUAGCUUUACAUUGGCAUUCGUAGCGGCAUGUGUAGGAUAGGUGGUAGGCUUUGAAGCCGGGGCGCCAGCCUUGGUGGAGCCACCCUUGAAAUACCACCCUUAUCUCUAUGGAUGUCUAACCGCGGCCCGUUAUCCGGGUCCGGGACAAUGUAUGGUGGGUAGUUUGACUGGGGCGGUCGCCUCCUAAAGAGUAACGGAGGCGCGCGAUGGUGGGCUCAGAACGGUCGGAAAUCGUUCGCUGAGUGCAAUGGCAUAAGCCUGCCUGACUGCGAGACUGACAAGUCGAGCAGAGACGAAAGUCGGUCAUAGUGAUCCGGUGGUCCCGAGUGGAAGGG